UUUAUUAUUAUACAUAAGUACACUGUAGCUGUCUUCAGACAUACCAAAAGAGGGCAUCAGAUCUCAUUACAGAUGGUUGUGAGCCACCAUGUGGUUACUGGGAUUUGAACUCAGGACCUUUGGAAGAGCAGUCAGUGCUCUUAUCCACUGAGCCAUCUCACCACCCCAGUGUGUAUAGUGUCUUAUAUAUUCCCUUUAGGGUUGAACAUUUUGCAAUCUCUUAUUCUCUGUACCUUGGUCAGUUGUCAGUCUCUGUAUUGAUUACUGCCUACUGCAAAUGAAAGCGUCUCAGAUAAGAAGCUAAGAGAUGCACUGCUCUAUGGAUAUGAUGAAAAGUCAUUAGGAAUUGGCUUAAUACUAUGUCCACUUAGCAACAUAAUAGUAGGUUCUCCCCUAGACCUAUGACCUGUCUAACAGUAGGUUAGUGGCCCAGUAAUAGUGCCAGGUAUAGGUUUCAUGUUGUGGAACUGGCUUUAAAUCUAAUCAGAAAGUGGUUGGUUACUGUUGUGGUUUGAAAAUGCUUGGCCCAAGGAGUGGCACUAUUUGGAAGUGUGGCCUUGUUGGAAUAGGUGUGUCACUGUGGGCGUGGGCUUUAAGACCCUCAUCCUAGCUGCCUGGAAGUCAGUAUUCUGCUAGCAGCCUUCAGAUGAAGAUGUAGAAUUCUUAGCUUCUCCAGCACCAUGCCUGCCUGGAUGCUGCCAUGUUUCUGCCUUGAUGAUAAUGGGCUGAAUCUCUGAACCUGUAAGCCAGCCUCAAUUAAACAUUGUCCUUAUAGGAGUUGCCUUGGUCAUGGUGUCUGUUCACAGCAGUAAAACCCUAACUAAGACAGUUCUCAUAAUGUUCAUGGCACUAUUGGACCAGUGGGCAUGUCUUGCCAGGCCAAUCACUAUUGCAGCUUGCAGAUGAAAGCGAGCCACUAGGGAUGUAUCAACUUGGUUCCAUCAUGUUCUAUGACUCAGGUACGUGAUGUCUUCAGCAGUAGGGUAGUACCAUCACAAAUGUCAUUUAUUGUACAUGUUGUUCAUAAUAGUUCAUUGUUACCUAAGUUUACAUAAAAACAUAGCUCCAUUAUCUUGUGGCUGCACCAUCCUCAAGGCAGCAGAGUCCUCUAGCUACAUAUUUGAUCAAUAAUAUGUCCAAGAGGAGCAAGGGAUCAACAGUGAAGAGUGAGCUGUCCAGACUGCAGAGUUAUGAAUGGUACUUUUGAACUUUUAUCCACAUUGGCUUCUCAAGUCAUGGGCUCCUGCUGAGCUGCAAGGCAGGCUGGGAAGUUGGGUGUGGUUCUGUGCCCUGAAGGAAGGUCACAGUGAGAUGAGCACAUAGAUGUGCCCCACAUAGUAUGAGCACAUAGUAUUACCCCUAGCUGAUGGUGUCUUCUUGCAUUAAAGUAAUAGGAGUUAAUUCUUUGUGUUGAGAUUUUUGACUUUGGUACAGCUUUUAUCCUGAUAGGAAAGUUAACUAAAAUCCUAACCUCUGACACAGAGGGAGGAGUGUCGGGUAUAUCAAUCAGCCAGUUCUACCAUGGUUUCGAGAAGUAGGGAGCAGGGCAAGGAGAUUCAAGAAGGCUGUGAACUGAGCAAAGAAAGCUUUACAACCCCUAUAGACCCUUGCCAUUUAAGGCACUUAGGACGCCAGACAUACCUGUAAUGUGUUUGAUUCUUAGGAGUCAAUUCUUGAACGGCCUCCCCAGCAGCAGCAAGAGUCACGUGGGCCUUCUUAUGCCUGCAGAUUUGUGGACUGUGCUUUAGCUGUAGGGUAAACAGGAAGGUUUGAGGAAAGACGCUGGCCUGAGUGCAACCAAUUUGGAAUGAACUUAGAAGAGAGAAAGAAUCUCACAACCAGGUCAGCUUCAUGUCAGAGGAACGUUAGAAGAGAACUCCCAAAGGACGUUUGAUGGGGCCUUGAGAGAAGAGCCUUCCCUUCAGAUCCAUAGGGGCUGAGCUAGACACAGCCACCGUGGUUAGCACAAUGGGCUUCCUGAAGAAAGGGCAGAGGAUGGUCUGUCUUUCUUUCUUCCAUUCUUUCCUUUCCUUUCCUUUCCUUUCCUUUCCUUUCCUUUCCUUUCCUUUCCUUUCCUUUCCUUUCCUUUCCUUUCCUUUCCUUUCCUUUCCUUUCCUUUCCUUUCCUUUCCUUUCCUUUCCUUCCCUUUCCCUUUCCCUUUCCCUUUCCCUUCCCCUUCCCCUUCCCCUUCCCCUUCCUUCCCCUUUCCCUUCCCCUUCCCCUUUCCCUUUCCCUCUUUCUUUCUCUCUCUCUCUUUCUAUAAAUUAUUUAACAUAAUUUAUUUAUAUAAAUAUAUUUGCAUAAAUAUAAAUAAUAAUAAUAAAUUAUUAUUACUUAUUUAUAUAAAAAUUCUUAACAGGUUUUCAAGGGGGUCAGCCAACUUCUCCCAUGUGAUGUAGUCUGGCCCAGCCUAUGAGCCCUUGCCACAGAGGCCUAGAUAUGUGCUUAGAUGGGACUAUAAACAUAGCUUGCAUGUUCAAAGGGGAGGCAAGGCAACAACACGGAGUACUUUCUUACUAUCUCAGGGGGGAGGGGGAAGGGGGAGGGGGAGAAAAGGAAAGGGGAGGCGAGAGGGGAGUGGGAGGGGUGGGGGUGGAACUGUGAUCUAACACUGGCAGGCUCCCACUUUACCCUAGAACCUGGCUAUAGCACAGCUACCCAACAAAAAAGAAGACAAACUCUAGUGCCUGAGAGUUCUGUCCUAGGAAUUGAGCUCCUAGUUUUAGAAGCCGGUGGACAGACAGACUGACAGCAUUCUAGUUUGUAAAAUAAAUCUUCUGCCAUAUG
RNAcentral lists this long non-coding RNA (2787 nucleotides) under Mus musculus (house mouse). RNAcentral's name for it is "predicted gene, 47701". Lineage: Eukaryota; Metazoa; Chordata; Mammalia; Rodentia; Muridae. The record is from RNAcentral.